Molecule: long non-coding RNA, 598 nt
Filed under: Ananas comosus (pineapple)
Lineage: Eukaryota; Viridiplantae; Streptophyta; Magnoliopsida; Poales; Bromeliaceae
Description: long non-coding RNA (ACOM_LNC001080)
Source: RNAcentral
CAACACUCCUCUUUAGUCAACACCACAACACUAUUCACUCCCGGGCAGUUCGAAAUCUGAUAUCUUUCGCCGAAACUCCCUGAACAUCCGUUUGAGCUCAAACUUCACAGUCAUAUUCGGUUUUAUGUACUGAGUAAGAAUAUAUUUUAAGUUUUCAGUUUCGACCCCAUUUGGUCACCGAAAACUGUACCGAACUGUAAUCUUUAUCAGAUAGCUGUCGGAUUUUAUUUCUCACUCUACGGGUGUCAGAAAAAUAUAAAACUUUAAAUCUAGUCUCAUAAAAAUAUUUCUGACUUAUUCUCCAAUUUUCAUAAUUUUCUGAGACUGUGCAUUUUCUGCCUAUUUAUCUGUCCCGUUUCCAACAGAAAAUUCUAGAUCUUCUGUUUUUAUUCCGAUUUCAGCACAAGUUACUUCUGACUUAUGUUUUACUCCUCUAAAUCCAAUAAAAAUAGUAUCUCACACUAUUUUUAUUUAUUUUUAUUUUUAUAUUUAAAAUCCGGUAUAUUACAUUCCACCGCAACCUCACCGGAAUCAUUCAAAUGGCUUUCCAACCAAAUGUACACCGUAACUUCAUAAUUUUAGAAGUCCAGUACCUUAC